RNAcentral lists this ribosomal RNA (253 nucleotides) under uncultured bacterium. Its description in RNAcentral is "partial 16S ribosomal RNA". It matches the Rfam family "Bacterial small subunit ribosomal RNA", at positions 524 to 776 of the family's 1533-position model. The record is from RNAcentral.
UACGUAGGGUGCAAGCGUUGUCCGGAAUUAUUGGGCGUAAAGAGCUCGUAGGCGGUUUGUCGCGUCUGCUGUGAAAACGCGAGGCUCAACCUCGCGCCUGCAGUGGGUACGGGCAGACUAGAGUGCGGUAGGGGAGAUUGGAAUUCCUGGUGUAGCGGUGGAAUGCGCAGAUAUCAGGAGGAACACCGAUGGCGAAGGCAGAUCUCUGGGCCGCUACUGACGCUGAGGAGCGAAAGCGUGGGGAGCGAACAGG